RNAcentral lists this small RNA (25 nucleotides) under Bombyx mori (domestic silkworm). RNAcentral's name for it is "ovarian small RNA-10315". The record is from RNAcentral. Lineage: Eukaryota; Metazoa; Arthropoda; Insecta; Lepidoptera; Bombycidae.
AACCCUUACAAUUUACGCCAAAUGU